AUGAACGCUGGCGGCGUGCCUAAUACAUGCAAGUCGAGCGGUAAGGCCCCUUCGGGGGUACACGAGCGGCGGACGGCUGAGUAACGCGUAGGAACGUACCCCAAAGUGAGGGAUAAGCACCAGAAAUGGUGUCUAAUACCGCAUGUGGUCUAAGGAUUAAAGCUUCGGCGCUUUGGGAACGGCCUGCGUAUGAUUAGUUUGUUGGUGAGGUAAUGGCUCACCAAGACUACGAUCAUUAGCUGGUCUGAGAGGAUGAUCAGCCAGACUGGGACUGAGAACGGCCCAGACUCCUACGGGAGGCAGCAGUAGGGAAUUUUCCACAAUGGGCGAAAGCCUGAUGGAGCAACGCCGCGUGCAGGAUGAAGGGCUUCGGUUCGUAAACUGCUUUUAUAUGUGACGAUUAUGACGGUAGCAUAUGAAUAAGGAUCGGCUAAUUCCGU
RNAcentral lists this ribosomal RNA (440 nucleotides) under uncultured bacterium. RNAcentral's name for it is "bacterial SSU rRNA". It matches the Rfam family "Bacterial small subunit ribosomal RNA", at positions 29 to 506 of the family's 1533-position model. The record is from RNAcentral.